This 71-nucleotide transfer RNA is filed under the name Bos taurus (domestic cattle). It matches the Rfam family "tRNA". From Rfam's summary of the family: Transfer RNA (tRNA) molecules are approximately 80 nucleotides in length. Lineage: Eukaryota; Metazoa; Chordata; Mammalia; Artiodactyla; Bovidae. RNAcentral also lists the same sequence under 6 other names. The record is from Rfam by way of RNAcentral.
UCCUUAAUACUCAGAUGGUAAAGAGUCUGCCUGCAAUGCAGGAGACCCAGGUUCAAUCCCUGGGUCAGGAA